RNAcentral lists this long non-coding RNA (789 nucleotides) under Aedes aegypti (yellow fever mosquito). Its description in RNAcentral is "lncRNA AAEL022924". Lineage: Eukaryota; Metazoa; Arthropoda; Insecta; Diptera; Culicidae. The record is from RNAcentral.
ACAUUUUCCGAAUUCCUAACUUCCCAACGUUUCUCUGCACACGCUAAAACAGACUUUGGUAUGACCGAGAGCAUGACUGUUUGUUUCAAAGGGCAUUCACAUUUAUUUUUUCAUCUCGCAGAACAUUUUUCUAAACUCCCCAAGCAAACGAAUUUAAAUAAAAGCAUUUUUUGUGUUAGUUUGAUGAUGUUUGGACACUCUUUUAGUUAAAAUAUUUGUAAAUAUAAAACUUUAUUUGAAAGUUACAUUGUUGCUUCAUUGUGUAAGUUUUUUUAAACGUGCCGUGUUUAUUUUGGUCAUCCAGCGAGAAAAAAAAUGAAAAUUUUGUUGCGAAAAAAGUCAUCCCGCACCGAAGAAAACUUCCCGUUACAGCUAAAUAUAAGCUGCACUAGCGAUUUGGAGUUCUAUGUUCCGAGAUUGCGCAAGCUUCCCGUUGGAGCUGUCCCGCAUGUGGUAUCAAAUAGGUUCAACUUCAACAACCAGGCAGGAGAUAUACGGAAAGCCGCUGAGAAUGUAGCACUCAUCCUGUUCGUAGCUGACGAGAAAGCUUAUUAUUUCAAGAAGCAGCACAUGACCGCUUCUGAAAAUGGGCAAUCAUGUCCGAUUGCCAGGACUUAGAUGAGAGCGAAUCAAAAUUUCAAUCCGGAUGAUGUUAAGAUAUGUCCUGCAUUCCGCUUGGCGACGUGAAGCAGACACAAAUCCAAGCCGCAACACACCUCCUAUAAAAAUUCAGUGUAUAUUAAUAAAAACUACCCACAAUUAAAACGAAGUGUAUGCUUAUUUAUCCAA